GGUGGCUCAUGCCUGUAAUCCCAGCACUUUGGGAGGCCAAGGUGAGAGGAUUGCUUGAGCCCAGAAUUUUGAGAGCAGCCUGUACAAUACAGGGAGACCCCCAUCUCUACAAAAAAUAAAAUGUUAGCUGGGCAUGGUGGCAUGCCUGUUGUCCUAGCUACUUUGGGAGGCUGAAGUGGAGAUUUCGUUUGGGCCCCGAAGGUUGAGGCUACACUGAGUGUGAUCUCGCCACUGCACUCCAGAGCUUGAGAAACAGAGUGACACUGUCUCAAAAAAAAA
Long non-coding RNA from Cercocebus atys (sooty mangabey), 279 nucleotides. RefSeq lists it as uncharacterized. The transcript is spliced from 2 exons. The record is from RefSeq and is a predicted model, not a curated record. NCBI's taxonomy places the organism in Eukaryota, Metazoa, Chordata, Mammalia, Primates, Cercopithecidae.